Molecule: long non-coding RNA, 570 nt
Organism: Acanthopagrus latus (yellowfin seabream)
Lineage: Eukaryota; Metazoa; Chordata; Actinopteri; Spariformes; Sparidae
Exons: 3
Source: RefSeq, a predicted model, not a curated record
CCUGCACCGUUAUGUUAGCGCGCUCUUUCGCGUCUCUUCUCUGGCUGAGACAUCCCCCUGAGAGACGCGCUACAAACAAGCUUAGACCUCCCGGAAGUGUGUGAAAGUGAACGUGAGGAGCCGCAUCCGUCCUGAGAGCCCUGUCAGUGUCAACCUCGGAUUGGAUGUUUCAGAAUCUGAACACUUUCGGGUUCUGUGGCGAUGAUAGACUGUGGACGACCCAGAACCAGUGUGGCCAGCUGUGGAUCCGCCCUCAGAGGACAUCAGGACCAUCAUUCAUUCAGGAACAGAUAAGAACCAACACAUUCAAACUACCCAGGUAGUGUUAGAAAUAGCGUGUGACGCAAAGUCAAGGGAACAUUUCAUCUCCUUCCCUUCAGAAGUGCCUCUGAAGGAAGUGAACUCUGACCUUUAAGCCAUUAAAGGAGGAUUCUGCAAAGAAAGGACACUUUUAUUGGAACUUUAAUUGUUUUGCACUUUGAAAUACUACUUGCAUACUAUUUAAUUUUAUAGUUUCACAACUACUGAUCGUGUCUGUGGCAAUAAAAUUGUUGUCAUUGUUCAACUACA